RNAcentral lists this unclassified non-coding RNA (734 nucleotides) under Hevea brasiliensis (rubber tree). Lineage: Eukaryota; Viridiplantae; Streptophyta; Magnoliopsida; Malpighiales; Euphorbiaceae. The record is from RNAcentral.
GAGAGAGAGAGAGGAUAGAAAAGAGAGAAUUAGAGAGAAGAAGAAGAUCAAUCAUUUAUUAGAUUCAGAAUAAGAAUCUACAAGCCUGAAUUAGGGUUUCUAUUGGCAGUUAGUUGAUAGAGUGAGGGACAAAAUUUUAAUUGUAAAUGAAGAACAAUGAGAAUUUGUAUUAAAUCAAAAUAGCCAAAUAACUUAUUAUGUUCCAUAAUUCUAGUAAUUCCUUACUUUCCACUCUUUUUCUCCUCAAUUUCCAAUUACAGAAUUCAAAUAGAAAAUAACAAGGAGAAUUAAAGACGUUCAAAGAACUAGAUAACAAUGGCUAUAAUAGCCCCUAGGAAGAUUCCCUGUGCAGAUUGCUUUGCCCCUCUAAACCAGAUAAAAUAUCAACUUCAUGGAUGCCUCUCCUCUUGACCCUUUUCUUCUCUUUGUACUCUUUCUAUUCCCUUUGCCGACUAUCACUCCACAUACUUCCAGCCUCCUCCAUUCCCUCUAAAGCCUAUCUCCUGUUAUCCAUCAUUCUAAAUAAUUUACAUGUCAUGGAAAUAUUCAAAGGUAAAAAUUAAACUAAAAAAAAAGAAUGAAUAAAAAUAAACUUAAAAUUAAAAGGAAAUGGAGGAAAAUUGAAAUUAAUCAUUAAAUCGAAUUGAAAGGCCAUUUUAAUAAAAUAAAUAAAUAAAUUUACACUAUUACAUAGCUUUUAGCCUGUUAUUCCAUGCAAGGGGCCUUGAAUUCUU